UGAGUAACGCGUGGAUAACCUGCCUUAUAGAGGGGGAUAACUAUUGGAAACGAUAGCUAAUACCGCAUAACAACUUAGUACUCAUGUACUAAGUUUAAAAGUAGCAAUUGCUACGCUGUGAGAUGGAUCCGCGUUGUAUUAGCUAGUUGGUAAGGUAACGGCUUACCAAGGCGAUGAUACAUAGCCGACCUGAGAGGGUGAUCGGCCACACUGGGACUGAGACACGGCCCAGACUCCUACGGGAGGCAGCAGUAGGGAAUCUUCGGCAAUGGACGGAAGUCUGACCGAGCAACGCCGCGUGAGUGAAGAAGGUUUUCGGAUCGUAAAACUCUGUUGUAAGAGAAGAACACUGAGGAGAGUGGAAAGCUCCUUAGUUGACGGUAACUUACUAGAAAGUCACGGCUAACUACGUGCCAGCAGCCGCGGUAAUACGUAGGUGGCAAGCGUUGUCCGGAUUUAUUGGGCGUAAAGCGAGCGCAGGCGGAUCAUUAAGUCUGAUGUAAAAGGCAAUGGCUUAACCAUUGUAAGCAUUGGAAACUGGUGACCUUGAGUGCAGUAGAGGAGAGUGGAAUUCCAUGUGUAGCGGUGAAAUGCGUAGAUAUAUGGAGGAACACCGGNGGCGAAAGCNGCUCUCUGG
RNAcentral lists this ribosomal RNA (637 nucleotides) under uncultured Streptococcaceae bacterium. RNAcentral describes it as "bacterial SSU rRNA". It matches the Rfam family "Bacterial small subunit ribosomal RNA", at positions 107 to 732 of the family's 1533-position model. Lineage: Bacteria; Bacillati; Bacillota; Bacilli; Lactobacillales; Streptococcaceae. The record is from RNAcentral.